CUUGCUUUAUUGAUGGCGACCGGCGCACGGGUGAGUAACGCGUAUGCAACCAUGCCUUACACAGGGGGAUAGCCCGGAGAAAUCCGGAUUAAUACCUGCAUAAUGAUCAAAUUGCGCAUGUUAUUUGAUUUAAAGCUUCGGCGGUGUCAGAUGGGCAUGCGUAGCAUUAGCUUGUUGGUGAGGUAACGGCUCACCAAGGCGAUGAUGCUUACGGGGUCUGAGAGGAUAGUCCCCCACACUGGUACUGAGACACGGACCACACUCCUACGGGAGGCAGCAGUGAGGAAUAUUGGUCAAUGGGCGCAAGCCUGAACCAGCCAUGUCGCGUGCAGGAUGACUGCCCUAUGGGUUGUAAACUGCUUUUUUACGGGAAUAAACCUUCCUACGUGUAGGGAGCUGAAGGUACCGUAUGAAUAAGGAUCGGCUAACUCCGUGCCAGCAGCCGCGGUAAUACGGAGGAUUCGAGCGUUAUCCGGAUUUAUUGGGUUCAAAGGGUCCGUACGCGGGCGAUUAACUCAGUGGUGAAAUCUCACAGCUCAACUGUGAAACUGCCAUUGAUACUGGUUGUCUUGAAUCUAGUUGAGGUGGGCGGAAUACGUUAUGUACCGAGCGAAAUGCAUACAUAUACGUACAACACGAUUGCAAAGCAGCUCACUACCUACCUUGCGCUGAUGC
Molecule: ribosomal RNA, 675 nt
Filed under: uncultured Bacteroidota bacterium
Lineage: Bacteria; Pseudomonadati; Bacteroidota
Description: bacterial SSU rRNA
Rfam family: Bacterial small subunit ribosomal RNA
Source: RNAcentral